Parcubacteria bacterium C7867-007 is the source of this 72-nucleotide non-coding RNA. NCBI's taxonomy places the organism in Bacteria, Candidatus Parcubacteria. The record is from Rfam.
GCCCCUAUAGCUCAAUGGAUAGAGCAGGAGACUUCUAAGCUCUUGAUCUAGGUUCGAUUCCUGGUGGGGGCA